UUAGAUAUUCGGAAGAACACCAGUGGCGAAGGCGGCUCACUGACUCGGCACUGACGCUGAGGUGCGAAAGCGUGGGGAGCAAACAGGAUUAGAUACCUUGGUAGUCCACGCCGUAGACGAUGAUAGCUAGCCGUUGGGGUGCUUGCACCUCGGUGGCGCAGUCAACGCAUUAAGCUAUCCGCAGGGGGAGUACGGCCGCAAGGUUAAAACUCAGAGGAAUUGACGGGGGCCUGCACAAGCGCUGGAGCAUGUGGUUUAAUUAGAAGCAACGCGCUGAACCUUCCCAGCUCUUGACAUCCCCGGAUUGCGGUAGAGAUUCGGUCUCCUUUCGGGGCCCGGUGACAGGUGCUGCAUGGCUGCCGUCAGCUCGUGUCGUGAGAUGUUGGGUUAAGUCCCGCAACGAGCGCAACCCUCGCCCUUAGUUGCCAGCAUUCAGUUGGGCCCUUUAAGGGGACUUCCGGUGAUAAGCCGGGAGGAAGGUGGGGAUGACGUCAAGUCCUCAUGGCCCUUACGGGCUGGGCUACACACGUGCUACAAUGGCGGUGACAAUGGGAGAAUCCCAAAAAACCGUCUCAGUUCGGAUUGGGGUCUGCAACUCGACCCCAUGAAGUCGGAAUCGCUAGUAAUCGCGUAACAGCAUGACGCGGUGAAUACGUUCCCGGGCCUUGCUACACACCGCCCGU
This 683-nucleotide ribosomal RNA is filed under the name uncultured bacterium. RNAcentral's name for it is "bacterial SSU rRNA". It matches the Rfam family "Bacterial small subunit ribosomal RNA", at positions 690 to 1397 of the family's 1533-position model. The record is from RNAcentral.